This 1579-nucleotide ribosomal RNA is filed under the name Salmonella enterica. RNAcentral's name for it is "partial 23S ribosomal RNA". It matches the Rfam family "Bacterial large subunit ribosomal RNA", at positions 1241 to 2802 of the family's 2925-position model. Lineage: Bacteria; Pseudomonadati; Pseudomonadota; Gammaproteobacteria; Enterobacterales; Enterobacteriaceae. The record is from RNAcentral.
CUGUAAGCCUGCGAAGGUGGCCUGUGAGGGUUGCUGGAGGUAUCAGAAGUGCGAAUGCUGACAUAAGUAACGAUAAAGCGGGUGAAAAGCCCGCUCGCCGGAAGACCAAGGGUUCCUGUCCAACGUUAAUCGGGGCAGGGUGAGUCGACCCCUAAGGCGAGGCCGAAAGGCGUAGUCGAUGGGAAACGGGUUAAUAUUCCCGUACUUGGUGUUACUGCGAAGGGGGGACGGAGAAGGCUAUGUUGGCCGGGCGACGGUUGUCCCGGUUUAAGCGUGUAGGUGUGUGUUCCAGGUAAAUCCGGUUCACUUUAACACUGAGGCGUGAUGACGAGGCACUACGGUGCUGAAGCAACAAAUGCCCUGCUUCCAGGAAAAGCCUCUAAGCAUCAGGUAACAUCAAAUCGUACCCCAAACCGACACAGGUGGUCAGGUAGAGAAUACCAAGGCGCUUGAGAGAACUCGGGUGAAGGAACUAGGCAAAAUGGUGCCGUAACUUCGGGAGAAGGCACGCUGACACGUAGGUGAAGUGAUUUACUCAUGGAGCUGAAGUCAGUCGAAGAUACCAGCUGGCUGCAACUGUUUAUUAAAAACACAGCACUGUGCAAACACGAAAGUGGACGUAUACGGUGUGACGCCUGCCCGGUGCCGGAAGGUUAAUUGAUGGGGUCAGCGCAAGCGAAGCUCCUGAUCGAAGCCCCGGUAAACGGCGGCCGUAACUAUAACGGUCCUAAGGUAGCGAAAUUCCUUGUCGGGUAAGUUCCGACCUGCACGAAUGGCGUAAUGAUGGCCAGGCUGUCUCCACCCGAGACUCAGUGAAAUUGAACUCGCUGUGAAGAUGCAGUGUACCCGCGGCAAGACGGAAAGACCCCGUGAACCUUUACUAUAGCUUGACACUGAACAUUGAGCCUUGAUGUGUAGGAUAGGUGGGAGGCUUUGAAGUGUGGACGCCAGUCUGCAUGGAGCCGACCUUGAAAUACCACCCUUUAAUGUUUGAUGUUCUAACGUGGACCCGUGAUCCGGGUUGCGGACAGUGUCUGGUGGGUAGUUUGACUGGGGCGGUCUCCUCCUAAAGAGUAACGGAGGAGCACGAAGGUUGGCUAAUCCUGGUCGGACAUCAGGAGGUUAGUGCAAUGGCAUAAGCCAGCUUGACUGCGAGCGUGACGGCGCGAGCAGGUGCGAAAGCAGGUCAUAGUGAUCCGGUGGUUCUGAAUGGAAGGGCCAUCGCUCAACGGAUAAAAGGUACUCCGGGGAUAACAGGCUGAUACCGCCCAAGAGUUCAUAUCGACGGCGGUGUUUGGCACCUCGAUGUCGGCUCAUCACAUCCUGGGGCUGAAGUAGGUCCCAAGGGUAUGGCUGUUCGCCAUUUAAAGUGGUACGCGAGCUGGGUUUAGAACGUCGUGAGACAGUUCGGUCCCUAUCUGCCGUGGGCGCUGGAGAACUGAGGGGGGCUGCUCCUAGUACGAGAGGACCGGAGUGGACGCAUCACUGGUGUUCGGGUUGUCAUGCCAAUGGCACUGCCCGGUAGCUAAAUGCGGAAGAGAUAAGUGCUGAAAGCAUCUAAGCACGAAACUUGCCCCGA